Molecule: ribosomal RNA, 431 nt
Filed under: uncultured bacterium
Lineage: Bacteria
Description: partial 16S ribosomal RNA
Rfam family: Bacterial small subunit ribosomal RNA
Source: RNAcentral
AACGAACGCUGGCGGCAGGCUUAACACAUGCAAGUCGAACGCCCCGCAAGGGGCGUGGCGCACGGGUGAGUAACGCGUGGAUAUCUGCCUUUUGGUUCGGAAUAACCCCGGGAAACUGGGGCUAAUACCGGAUGGUUCCUACGGGAUAAAGAUUUAUCGCCAAAAGAUGAGUCCGCGUACGAUUAGCUAGUUGGUGAGGUAAUGGCUCACCAAGGCGACGAUCGUUAGCUGGUCUGAGAGGACGAUCAGCCACACUGGGACUGAGACACGGCCCAGACUCCUACGGGAGGCAGCAGUGGGGAAUAUUGGACAAUGGGGGCAACCCUGAUCCAGCCAUGCCGCGUGAGUGAUGAAGGCCUUCGGGUUGUAAAGCUCUUUUGGCGGGGACGAUGAUGACGGUACCCGCAGAAUAAGCCCCGGCUAACUUCGUG